Armigeres subalbatus is the source of this 922-nucleotide long non-coding RNA. RefSeq lists it as uncharacterized. The transcript is spliced from 2 exons. The record is from RefSeq and is a predicted model, not a curated record. Lineage: Eukaryota; Metazoa; Arthropoda; Insecta; Diptera; Culicidae.
UAAAAAUCUUGACGGGAUGUCUAGUUGUUCAACGCAAACGGAAAGAACGAUCAAUUGGACGAAAAUGUUUUCGAUUCGAGUUUGAAUAAAGCUCUGGCUUGUACGGAGAGCAAUACUAUUUCACGGAGCAAUCCUUAACCCAGAAAUUGUCGGAAGCAAGCCUGGCAAGGGAAAAACUGUUCAGUGAUGUCAAGUUUAAUCUAUACUGGAUGGACGAGCAGCAGGAGAAGGAUAUUAUGAGCGGAGGACUGAGCAGUUUGCGGAUCAGGUCCAUCAGCAGCAAUCAAUUGAAUUGUCCGAAGAAAACGGGAUAUUUUCUGAGCCCUCAAUCGGUGAUGAGGCCAAUGAGGAUGCCGAUGGUGAUGGCAAUGAGAGAAGCCCUCCCAGGUUAGGCAAUCCGAAAGCGCUUCAAGUAAAACUCUAAUUCGACAUUGACGUAGGAGAAGCGAUUUCCAUCGCUUGAUUCACCGGAUAAGUAAGUUCGAUUCACGGCCGAACCUCGAAUAUCCGGAAGACCAGAAGUAACCAAGGAACGUGCGAAAACAUGCGUCCGGAAAGGGUACAUUAUAGGAGAGUGUGUAUGUUUCAACAGACGUCAUACGAAGCCGCAACAAAUGGAUCACGAAAAGCGAUUUAACAGUACACGAAUAGUUCAGCAGAUAAGAAGGCUCCGUUAGCGAUCGAGUAGCUGUCGAUAAGUUAUUUGCUGUUGAAGGAAUAAAUGUGGAUUUAUGGACGGAGACGAAAAUUUGAACGAUUGGUUCCAGGCUGUUCCAAGUUGUUUAGAACAGGAUGCGCGGCAUUCGAGAUGAUACAACACAGCAAGAGUUGUGCUCGAUUCGCGUGGUGCGAUUGGUAGAGCAAUUGUAAGAUUUCAUAUCCGUUGAUUGAUCAUAAAAAUAAAACGGAAAAAUUGUAAAAA